CUCCCGAUGGCCCAGUUGGCUAAGGCGCGAGACUGUAAUGAUCUUGAGAUCGGGUGUUCGAUUCACCCUCGGGAGA
This 76-nucleotide transfer RNA is filed under the name Geotrichum candidum. Its description in RNAcentral is "transfer RNA-Tyr (GTA)". It matches the Rfam family "tRNA". From Rfam's summary of the family: Transfer RNA (tRNA) molecules are approximately 80 nucleotides in length. Their secondary structure includes four short double-helical elements and three loops (D, anti-codon, and T loops). The record is from RNAcentral. Lineage: Eukaryota; Fungi; Ascomycota; Dipodascomycetes; Dipodascales; Dipodascaceae.